This 73-nucleotide transfer RNA is filed under the name Trichonephila inaurata madagascariensis. It matches the Rfam family "tRNA". From Rfam's summary of the family: Transfer RNA (tRNA) molecules are approximately 80 nucleotides in length. Their secondary structure includes four short double-helical elements and three loops (D, anti-codon, and T loops). Further hydrogen bonds mediate the characteristic L-shaped molecular structure. tRNAs have two regions of fundamental functional importance: the anti-codon, which is responsible for specific mRNA codon recognition, and the 3' end, to which the tRNAs corresponding amino acid is attached (by aminoacyl-tRNA synthetases). tRNAs cope with the degeneracy of the genetic code in two manners: having more than one tRNA (with a specific anti-codon) for a particular amino acid; and 'wobble' base-pairing, i.e. permitting non-standard base-pairing at the 3rd anti-codon position. The record is from Rfam by way of RNAcentral. Lineage: Eukaryota; Metazoa; Arthropoda; Arachnida; Araneae; Nephilidae.
GUCCCUGUAGCGCAAUGGGUAGCGCGUUGGAUUUCUAAUCUAUAGGUCGGGAGUUCGAAUCCCCCCUGGGAUG